This 325-nucleotide ribosomal RNA is filed under the name uncultured eukaryote. RNAcentral describes it as "partial 18S ribosomal RNA". It matches the Rfam family "Eukaryotic small subunit ribosomal RNA", at positions 1470 to 1796 of the family's 1831-position model. The record is from RNAcentral.
CCCUUAGAUGUUCUGGGCCGCACGCGCGCUACACUGACUGGUUCAUCGAGUAUACAACCUUGACUGAUAGGUCUGGGUAAUCUUCUCAAAGCCAGUCGUGCUGGGGAUAGAUUAUUGUAAUUUUUAAUCUUCAACGAGGAAUUCCUAGUAAACGCGAGUCAUCAACUCGCAUUGAUUACGUCCCUGCCCUUUGUACACACCGCCCGUCGCUACUACCGAUUGAAUGCUCAGGUGAGCCAUUCGGACUUUCAUCAUGCUGGUUUCCAGUUUUGAUGAAGGAAAGUCUUGCGAACCUUAUCAUUUAGAGGAAGGAGAAGUCGUAACA